Molecule: ribosomal RNA, 450 nt
Filed under: uncultured bacterium
Lineage: Bacteria
Description: bacterial SSU rRNA
Rfam family: Bacterial small subunit ribosomal RNA
Source: RNAcentral
GUCGAGAAUAAUUCGCAAUGGGCGAAAGCCUGACGAUGCGACGCCGCGUGAACGAUGAAGGCCUUCGGGUUGUAACGUUCUGUUGUCCUGGAACAAAGGUGGCUGAUGAAUAUGUGGCCACCUUGAGGGUACAGGAAGAGGAAGCACCGGCUAAUUCCGUGCCAGCAGCUGCGGUAAUACGGAAGGUGCAAGCGUUAGUCGGAAUUACUGGGCGUAAAGGGUGCGUAGGCGGUGAUAUAAGUCGGGCGUGAAAUUCCGGGGCUUAACCUCGGAACGGCGUUCGAUACUGUGUCACUUGAGGAAUGGCGGAGAGAAUGGAAUUCCAUAUGUAGCGGUGAAAUGCGUAGAUAUAUGGAAGAACACCUGUGGCGAAAGCGGUUCUCUAGCUUAAUCCUGACGCUGAGGCACGAAAGCAAGGGGAGCAAACAGGAUUAGAAACCCCGGUAGUCC